RNAcentral lists this long non-coding RNA (1558 nucleotides) under Xyrichtys novacula (pearly razorfish). The record is from RNAcentral. Lineage: Eukaryota; Metazoa; Chordata; Actinopteri; Labriformes; Labridae.
GGAGAACAAAGCACAGCACAUAAUGUUACCGCUUGAUCAGAUCAACCACCCACACACUGCAGAGUGUAUAAAAAAAUGUGUUGAAAAAUGCACAGAGGACUGAGAAAUACCUCAACACAAAAUUCUGACCACCAUAACUGACAACGGAAGCAACAUGGUUGCAGUAUUCAAAACUACUGAACAAGAGCCCAGCAGCUUAGAUAAUGACGCAGCUGAAUCCAUGGAGAGUGACUCUGAAGACUCUGAGGUGGCCAGAGCAGAACAGAGGUAAAUUAUUUCAGUUUAGCAAAUUAGAUUGUCUGUCAGAUUUCAGCUGUGUGUGUGCAACUGUCUAUACAUUAUUAAUUGUAUUACAUGGUGGUGUUACAUAAUUUUCCACAGAAGAAUAAUUAUUUCCUCUCCCUCUCUCUGUGUUCUUGUCUUUUAUAUCUAGGUAUGGAGCCAUAUGUUGGACCCCCUGUGUUGUGCACACCCUGCAACUCGUGGUGAAGAUGAUCCAGGAAGAAGCAAGUGUCAAACGAAUACUGGACAUAGUCAGAGUGCUCGUCAGGCUCUUCGCAAUUCAUCAAAGGCAACUGAGAAGCUGCUGAAGGAGUGUCAACUAACUCUGGUCAAAGACUGCCCCACAAGAUGGUCCAGCACAUACCUGAUGAUAGACAGGCUUCUUGAAGUCAAGGAGUCUGUUGUCAAGGUUGCUGAGGAGAUGGCCUGGGCCUAUCUCCUGCCAAGUGAGUGGCUGAAGCGGACCGCUAUUAGAGACUUAUUCCUCCCCUUCGCUGAGCAUACCCAGAUGCUCCAAAGCGACACACAGUCGUUAUCGCUUGUGGUGCCUGCCCUCCUGGACCUGCAUGUUCACCUCUUUGACUUCCUCCUUGCCCAGGGUUCUAGCUUCAAGGACCUUGGCUCCCUGGCAAAGGAAAUGAAGGCAAACAAGGACCAGCGUUUCAGCUGCUUUCUUGAUCACACCAACUCACAGUUCUCACCCCUCACUGCUGCUGCAUGCUUCCUUGACCCGACAGUCGCCCUUGGAGCACUCCUUGCCAACGAUGAUGAGCACAUUCAGGAGCUUCUAAGCAAAGCCGAAGAUUACAAUGCUCAGUUGGUGCCACCAGUCAUACAGGAGGAGGACGGGGAGUCAGAGGACGUAGAGGAAGCAUCAAAAGAGGUACCAGGACCAGAGGAAGUGUUCGAGGUUCAGAUUCUUGUCAAAAACAAACCAGCCAUUCAGACCGACUACCCUCCCAAAGCCAUGAGUCAGGCAGGAAAUAAAGAGGUUCAAGGAGAAGCUAUCACAGCCCCAUGACAUAAUGGAAGAGGAAGACAAAGAGCAACAGACUGCCCUUGGCUUUUGGGUUGCACAGGGAGAUUCUGCUUAUCCAAGCCUCAAACCUAUUGCCUUAGAUCUUCUGGCCAUGCCAGCAUCUCAAGCGUUUGCUGAGCGAGUCUUAAGUGUCACAGGGGACCUCAGUCAUGGCCUUCGCAAUAGAGCCAGAGUCAUUCUAGAGAGAAGUGCUUUCCUCAAACUGAACCGGUAGACACAUUUUUAUAACAAUAGGUA